CUGGUGCUGGAUGCUGACUUAGCUCAGCAGGCCACGGUGGCUCCUUGAAGAGAAGUGGCACUCAAGAAAGGGGAAACAUUUUAAAAGGCUCCAAAGCGUGAGGUCUGUAAUGGAUCACAUGAGUGGGCAGCAUCCUGAGAGGUGAACAAACACUACAGAAAAAAGAGCUUGUGACAAGAGCAUUGGAGGGAGAGAAAGAGACUCCUCUGCUCGAGCUGAGACUGCAGCACUGAGGAGGUGUUUAGCAUCUCUGAUGCAGAUUCCCAGGAAUAUAUGUGUUUAAAUUCAAACUUGACCCUAGGAGGAGAAGAACCAAUUUUCUGCUCUUGUGUCAAGCCUGAGUGAUGAUGAAUAGGCAGGACCUGCCUUACAGGAGGGCAAUGCUGGGAAUGGGAAGAGACUUGCCCUGUGUCAGCAGCCAGCAGUUACUACAGAGGAGUGAGCAAAACUGAGGAACUUCUCCAAAGAUGCCAGGCACUUGAUUUAUGAGACACCCUUUCUUCCUCUCCCCUGCCUGUGCCACUGUGUGCAUGAAUACCCAGCAAAGAGCCCAAAGUGCCUCUGGCUCUGCCUCCAAGGGUGGGAGCCUUGCUCAGAGGUGUCCUGCUCUCCACCUGCUGCCUAGGGGUGUCAGCUGCAAGAUCCUGGUUUGCCUUAGGAGGAAACGUGUCCCCAGCCAAGGGGAUGGGAGCAGAGAGGAGAAACGUGGGAGGAAGGAAAUGUUCAUGCACAUGAUGUCUUCCCGGAGUGUUGCAGGGCUGAUACCCAGAAUUGGAACGGGGCUUCUCAAAGUGAUGCUAAAAAGGAGCUGGUGUCUCCUUCCUGGAGAGCUUUCCUUCAGCUCCUAAUUCUGCAGCACUCUGGUGCCAGCCUCUGAGGAAGUCUGUUGGUUUCAUCAAAGUCGUGCUGUGACUCAUGGUCCCUUCUUACAGAAAACAGGCUUUUCCUCCUGAUGAAGACAACCAAUCUUCAAACCCUGUGCUGCCUUCUGGAGAGAUGGAUAUGAAACACAGGCAGAUCCCAAGCCCUGGAGCUGAUCUCCCAGGAAAAUGAGCACCACAGGGAGAAGGAGUGUUGUAAACAAGUGGAAGUGAG
Onychostruthus taczanowskii (white-rumped snowfinch) is the source of this 1095-nucleotide long non-coding RNA. RefSeq lists it as uncharacterized. NCBI's taxonomy places the organism in Eukaryota, Metazoa, Chordata, Aves, Passeriformes, Passeridae. The transcript is spliced from 5 exons. The record is from RefSeq and is a predicted model, not a curated record.